This 460-nucleotide ribosomal RNA is filed under the name uncultured bacterium. RNAcentral's name for it is "partial 16S ribosomal RNA". It matches the Rfam family "Bacterial small subunit ribosomal RNA", at positions 338 to 795 of the family's 1533-position model. The record is from RNAcentral.
CCUACGGGCGGCAGCAGUGAGGAAUAUUGGUCAAUGGACGAGAGUCUGAACCAGCCAAGUAGCGUGAAGGAUGACUGCCCUAUGGGUUGUAAACUUCUUUUAUAUGGGAAUAAAAUGUUACACGUGUGGGAUUUUGUAUGUACCAUAUGAAUACGGAACGGCUAAAUCCGUGCCAGCAGCCGCGGUAAUACGGAGGAUCCGAGCGUUAUCCGGAUUUACUGGGUUUAAAGGGAGCGUAGGUGGAUUGUUAAGUCAGAUGUGAAAGGUUGCGGCUCAACCGUAAAAUUGCAGUUGAAACUGGCAGUCUAGAGUACAGUAGAGGUGGGUGGAAUUCGAGGUGUAGCGGUGAAAUGCGUAGAUAUCACGAAGAACACCGGUGGCGAAGGCAGCUCACUGGACUGCAACUGACACUGAGGCUCGAAAGUGUGGGUAGCAAACAGGAUUAGAUACCCUUGUAGUC